This is a long non-coding RNA of Monodelphis domestica (gray short-tailed opossum), 426 nucleotides long. RefSeq lists it as uncharacterized. Lineage: Eukaryota; Metazoa; Chordata; Mammalia; Didelphimorphia; Didelphidae. The record is from RefSeq and is a predicted model, not a curated record.
CUGGCUUUCCUCCCCCCCCGCCCCCCACCCCUUGACCCUGCCGCACCCCGACCCGCGCACUCGAGCCCCCGCGCGGGACCCUGGCCUCGCCCUCGAGCCCGCCUCAGCGACCGUUUGCAGGCGGGAGACGGGGGCGGGGCGCUCAACCGCCUGCCUAUCCUACUCAGUCCCGCCUCCCGACGCCGCCGUAACCCAGGGCAACGAGGCGGGGCGAAUGAGGUGCGGAAGUAAGAACUGGAGAGCAGGAGCCAAUAAGAGAACUCUUUACUGGUUGAACACAAAUCCAUCAUCCCUUUCUUGCUUGGAGUUUUAACCUUUGAAAGCCCUGCCCACAGUCUCCUCUGGAGGGUGUUUUCUGCACUAGGGAGAGACUUGGCCCUGCAUUCAUGCUUAACUAUUUCUCUCAAUAAAUCCUUCUGAUUUCAA